GCCGGUGUGGCUCAGUGGUAGAGCAUCAGCCUGUGGACUGAAGGGUUCCAGGUUCGAUUCCCGGUCAAGGGCA
Molecule: transfer RNA, 73 nt
Filed under: Myotis brandtii (Brandt's bat)
Lineage: Eukaryota; Metazoa; Chordata; Mammalia; Chiroptera; Vespertilionidae
Rfam family: tRNA
About the family: Transfer RNA (tRNA) molecules are approximately 80 nucleotides in length. Their secondary structure includes four short double-helical elements and three loops (D, anti-codon, and T loops).
Source: Rfam by way of RNAcentral